This 492-nucleotide ribosomal RNA is filed under the name uncultured bacterium. RNAcentral's name for it is "partial 16S ribosomal RNA". It matches the Rfam family "Bacterial small subunit ribosomal RNA", at positions 29 to 507 of the family's 1533-position model. The record is from RNAcentral.
AGUGAACGCUGGCGGUAGGCCUAACACAUGCAAGUCGAACGGCAGCACAGUAAGAGCUUGCUCUUACGGGUGGCGAGUGGCGGACGGGUGAGGAAUACAUCGGAAUCUACUUUUUCGUGGGGGAUAACGUAGGGAAACUUACGCUAAUACCGCAUACGACCUACGGGUGAAAGCAGGGGAUCUUCGGACCUUGCGCGAUUGAAUGAGCCGAUGUCGGAUUAGCUAGUUGGCGGGGUAAAGGCCCACCAAGGCGACGAUCCGUAGCUGGUCUGAGAGGAUGAUCAGCCACACUGGAAGUGAGACACGGUCCAGACUCCUACGGGAGGCAGCAGUGGGGAAUAUUGGACAGUGGGCGCGAGCCUGAUCCAGCCAUACCGCGUGGGUGAAGAAGGCCUUCGGGUUGUAAAGACCUUUUGUUGGGAAAGAAAAGCAGCAGGUUAAUACCCCGCUGUUCUGACGGUACCCAGAGAAUAAGCACCGGCUAACUUCGUG